This is a long non-coding RNA of Stegastes partitus (bicolor damselfish), 378 nucleotides long. RefSeq lists it as uncharacterized. The record is from RefSeq and is a predicted model, not a curated record. The transcript is spliced from 5 exons. NCBI's taxonomy places the organism in Eukaryota, Metazoa, Chordata, Actinopteri, Pomacentridae.
GUCCCAACCAUCGAAGUAAAACUUGUGGCAUUUGGUGUCGUGAGAUUCCUGAAAAACGGAUGGAAUCUGUUGGAUGUUGCUAUCGUCUUGGCUUCCAUCACCGGCAUACUUUCCAUGGACAUGGAAGUGGCGGAUGAAAACCGUUACUAAGACAGUGUUACAGGUUGGAAACACUUGUCUGCUCUUCCUCUUCUUCUGUUACAUCUGUGCUGCACUGGGAGUGGAGCUCUUUGGCAAACUAGGACACAAUGCGGGAGUGUCACCCGCAUGCCGGUGUGAGCUUUGUGGUCAUAACCCGGCUUGUGCUGAUGAACAAGCCUACUAACAAUUAUCGCCCCCCGAGGAGGAAGGAGGAAGGAGGAGGAUGAGGAGGAGGAG